This 72-nucleotide transfer RNA is filed under the name Eutrema salsugineum. It matches the Rfam family "tRNA". Rfam says of the family: Transfer RNA (tRNA) molecules are approximately 80 nucleotides in length. Their secondary structure includes four short double-helical elements and three loops (D, anti-codon, and T loops). Further hydrogen bonds mediate the characteristic L-shaped molecular structure. tRNAs have two regions of fundamental functional importance: the anti-codon, which is responsible for specific mRNA codon recognition, and the 3' end, to which the tRNAs corresponding amino acid is attached (by aminoacyl-tRNA synthetases). tRNAs cope with the degeneracy of the genetic code in two manners: having more than one tRNA (with a specific anti-codon) for a particular amino acid; and 'wobble' base-pairing, i.e. permitting non-standard base-pairing at the 3rd anti-codon position. Lineage: Eukaryota; Viridiplantae; Streptophyta; Magnoliopsida; Brassicales; Brassicaceae. The record is from Rfam by way of RNAcentral.
GUCAAGAUGGCCGAAUUGGUCUAAGGCAGGUGCGGAUCCCAAAAGGCGUGGAUUCAAAUCCUACUUUUGACA